Molecule: ribosomal RNA, 1372 nt
Filed under: uncultured bacterium
Lineage: Bacteria
Description: bacterial SSU rRNA
Rfam family: Bacterial small subunit ribosomal RNA
Source: RNAcentral
GAUGAACGCUGGCGGCGUGCCUAAUACAUGCAAGUCGAGCGAACGGACGAGAAGCUUGCUUCUCUGAUGUUAGCGGCGGACGGGUGAGUAACACGUGGAUAACCUACCUAUAAGACUGGGAUAACUUCGGGAAACCGGAGCUAAUACCGGAUAAUAUUUUGAACCGCAUGGUUCAAAAGUGAAAGACGGUCUUGCUGUCACUUAUAGAUGGAUCCGCGCUGCAUUAGCUAGUUGGUAAGGUAACGGCUUACCAAGGCGACGAUGCAUAGCCGACCUGAGAGGGUGAUCGGCCACACUGGAACUGAGACACGGUCCAGACUCCUACGGGAGGCAGCAGUAGGAAAUCUUCCGCAAUGGGCGAAGGCCUGACGGAGCAACGCCGCGUGAGUGAUGAAGGUCUUCGGAUCGUAAAACUCUGUUAUUAGGGAAGAACAUAUGUGUAAGUAACUGUGCACAUCUUGACGGUACCUAAUCAGAAAGCCACGGCUAACUACGUGCCAGCAGCCGCGGUAAUACGUAGGUGGCAAGCGUUAUCCGGAAUUAUUGGGCGUAAAGCGCGCGUAGGCGGUUUUUUAAGUCUGAUGUGAAAGCCCACGGCUCAACCGUGGAGGGUCAUUGGAAACUGGAAAACUUGAGUGCAGAAGAGGAAAGUGGAAUUCCAUGUGUAGCGGUGAAAUGCGCAGAGAUAUGGAGGAACACCAGUGGCGAAGGCGACUUUCUGGUCUGUAACUGACGCUGAUGUGCGAAAGCGUGGGGAUCAAACAGGAUUAGAUACCCUGGUAGUCCACGCCGUAAACGAUGAGUGCUAAGUGUUAGGGGGUUUCCGCCCCUUAGUGCUGCAGCUAACGCAUUAAGCACUCCGCCUGGGGAGUACGACCGCAAGGUUGAAACUCAAAGGAAUUGACGGGGACCCGCACAAGCGGUGGAGCAUGUGGUUUAAUUCGAAGCAACGCGAAGAACCUUACCAAAUCUUGACAUCCUUUGACAACUCUAGAGAUAGAGCCUUCCCCUUCGGGGGACAAAGUGACAGGUGGUGCAUGGUUGUCGUCAGCUUGUGUCGUGAGAUGUUGGGUUAAGUCCCGCAACGAGCGCAACCCUUAAGCUUAGUUGCCAUCAUUAAGUUGGGCACUCUAAGUUGACUGCCGGUGACAAACCGGAGGAAGGUGGGGAUGACGUCAAAUCAUCAUGCCCCUUAUGAUUUGGGCUACACACGUGCUACAAUGGACAAUACAAAGGGCAGCGAAACCGCGAGGUCAAGCAAAUCCCAUAAAGUUGUUCUCAGUUCGGAUUGUAGUCUGCAACUCGACUACAUGAAGCUGGAAUCGCUAGUAAUCGUAGAUCAGCAUGCUACGGUGAAUACGUUCCCGGGUCU